AUUGGUUGCUGGGUCUGCUCUCUCUCACUGGGCAGCAGGCCAGGCGCCCUCCGACCGCUUUCCGUCUGUGACAUCGGCGAGUGACCAUCCAGGUGUGUCUGGCUCGGAUUCACAACCCCUUUGCUGUGCUGCACCGUGAGUCAAGACUCACAAUUAAUUGAAGUUUUGCCAUGAUGAAGACCUUGGAUAUCAAACUGAUGACAGUAUUUCACUUAAUGUGGACCUUUUAUAAUGGAGGCGUUUGGAAACUGUGGGAGAUGACAUCACAGAAUUGAUUUCCAGCCCCUCCGACAGCACGGAGCUGUCUCCCCACUCCAGGACUCCCGCCUGUCCUUCCCUUAGUCCCCUAGGACAGCUCUUCAGAGACGCAAUGGCCUCGGGGCAUUUCCUGAUCUUCUCGGGGAAGAAGCCCAUGACCAGGAGGAUGAACCAACCAGCCAAUCAGAGGCCAGGCUGGGCCUGAACCAGGACUGCCCGCAUCCGUUACAUUCUCCCCUGCUCUCUCUGGCUGGACGCAAGAUCGGAGGCUUGGACCCCUCUGCAGACCUCAGCUGGCCCUGUGUGGUGUGGACUGACUCUUUCAUGGCUCAGCUGAGCCCAGGGGACAUCCCAUAAAGCUCUGCGUGCACACACUCUUCUCUCCUUUGUACUGUUAGU
Long non-coding RNA from Bubalus bubalis (water buffalo), 657 nucleotides. RefSeq lists it as uncharacterized. The transcript is spliced from 4 exons. NCBI's taxonomy places the organism in Eukaryota, Metazoa, Chordata, Mammalia, Artiodactyla, Bovidae. The record is from RefSeq and is a predicted model, not a curated record.